GAACAAAAUGAUGAGCUUUGCUGAGGCUCCCCUUUGGCUGAGCUCAGUGGAACCAGAGGGCAUAGGAGCCCUAAUAAUAUAGCCCUGAGGGGCCUUCUCCUUAGGGCAGAAAGCAGAGUGGGAAAGGAUGGAUGGCAGACAUGAAGAGGCAAAUGGAAGGUAUCUAGUAUAUAGACCAAUAUUUAUUAAGAACACACCAUAUAUCAAGCACAGGGCUAGGCCUUGGUGAGACAGUAAGCCUUUCCAGCCCCUGUCCUCAACAAACUUUUUUACAGAAUGAUAAAUCAUAUGACAGAGGUAACAGAGGAUGCUUUACAAGCAGAAGGAGGGCCUCUAGCCCAGCCAUGGCAAGGGCAGAGGAGGGAUAGGAAAGGUCAGGGAAGGCUUCCUGAUGUCGACUCUAUGAAAACAUACAGUCAAUAAUCAGUGGAGCCCAAAUACUAAACCAGGAGGUGUAAUUCUAAAACCAGGGUUAUAUUCAUUACUGUAAUUUCUUCCCCUGCCUCCCACCCCACCUUCUCCCUCAGCAAUCUGGGCUAAUAGAUAAUGUGCACGAAACACAUGUAGACACAACUACGUUUGUGGAACAAAUGACUUUCUACCUGAGGUAUAAAAUCGGCUUCUAAAGUAAGGGAAAGCCACGCCCACUUAUUUUAUGAACACUAAAAUUUUCCCAUAUCCCCACUAAUAUAAGCACAAAUGUUUUUAGGGGGCAUGCAGUGGGAAGGAAAUGCCACCACAUUAUCUAAAGGACAUGGGUUUAAAUCCUAGCUUUGCCACUUCCUAGCUUUAUAAUCACAGGCAAAUCAAUUAACCUCCCUGUUCUUAUCAAAGAUUAUUGUAAAGGAUGAGAAAGCACGCUGUAACCUUCAAAGUUUAUUAUAUGUAGGGAUUAAAAAUUAAUAUUGAAGGAUUUUUUCCCUUUUACUUGAAAUUCCUGAAAGGUCCAAAUUUUAAUGUCUCAAUUCCUUUUAUUUUACCACAAAACCACCUGAGCCCUAAACAUCGAUCAUUUGAUUCUUUGAGACCUAGGAUUUGUCUGUGAUUAGAAAUUUUACAGUGAAAAAUUCUGCUGCAACUUUCCUGAAGUGUUGUUUCCAAGGGUCAGUUUUCUUGAAAAGAUUUGUUCAAUUAACCUGCAAGUAGCUGCUCACCUAUGGGUAAAUUCCAGGAAAAAAAAAAAAGAUAUGAGUAUAUGUAUAUAAACUUCUAA
Molecule: long non-coding RNA, 1213 nt
Filed under: Homo sapiens (human)
Lineage: Eukaryota; Metazoa; Chordata; Mammalia; Primates; Hominidae
Description: HSALNT0178848
Source: RNAcentral